CAACUUACCUGGCAGGGGAGGUACUAUGAUCACGAAGGUGGUUUUCCCAGGGUGAGGCUCAUCCAUUGCACUGCGGGUGUGCUGACUCCUGCGAUUUCCCCAAAUGUGGGAAACUCAACUGCAUAAUUUGUGGUUGUGGGGGACUGCGUUUGUGCUCUCCCGUU
This 164-nucleotide small nuclear RNA is filed under the name Chelydra serpentina (North American snapping turtle). RNAcentral's name for it is "U1 spliceosomal RNA (ENSCSRG00000019799.1)". It matches the Rfam family "U1 spliceosomal RNA". From Rfam's summary of the family: U1 is a small nuclear RNA (snRNA) component of the spliceosome (involved in pre-mRNA splicing). The record is from Rfam by way of RNAcentral. Lineage: Eukaryota; Metazoa; Chordata; Testudines; Chelydridae.